GAUGAACGCUGACAGAAUGCUUAACACAUGCAAGUCGAUGGGGAAGUGGUGCUUGCACCAUGGUAACCAUGGCGGACGGGUGAGUAACGCGUAAGGAACUUACCUGCGGGACCGGGAUAACAGCAGGAAACUGCUGACAAGACCGGAUAAGGUCAUUAAGCUGCAUAGCUUAGUGAUGAAAGGAGACGCCUGCGGAGAGCCUUGCGUCCUAUUAGCUAGUUGGAGGGGUAACGGCCCACCAAGGCGAAGAUAGGUAGCCGGCCUGAGAGGGUGGACGGCCACAAGGGGACUGAGAUACGGCCCUUACUCCUACGGGAGGCAGCAGUGGGGAAUAUUGGACAAUGGGGGCAACCCUGAUCCAGCAAUUCUGUGUGCACGAAGACGGUUUUCGGAUUGUAAAGUGCUUUCAGCAGGGAAGAAGGAAGUGACGGUACCUGCAGAAGAAGCGACGGCUAAAUACGUG
Molecule: ribosomal RNA, 463 nt
Filed under: uncultured bacterium
Lineage: Bacteria
Description: partial 16S ribosomal RNA
Rfam family: Bacterial small subunit ribosomal RNA
Source: RNAcentral